CGGAGCAGUACGGCUUCAGAGAGGGCCGC
Molecule: small RNA, 29 nt
Filed under: Bombyx mori (domestic silkworm)
Lineage: Eukaryota; Metazoa; Arthropoda; Insecta; Lepidoptera; Bombycidae
Description: ovarian small RNA-14454
Source: RNAcentral